UAUUUAGGUAGAUCUUUCAGA
Molecule: non-coding RNA, 21 nt
Filed under: Caenorhabditis elegans
Lineage: Eukaryota; Metazoa; Nematoda; Chromadorea; Rhabditida; Rhabditidae
Source: RNAcentral